Long non-coding RNA from Myotis myotis, 278 nucleotides. RefSeq lists it as uncharacterized. Lineage: Eukaryota; Metazoa; Chordata; Mammalia; Chiroptera; Vespertilionidae. The record is from RefSeq and is a predicted model, not a curated record. The transcript is spliced from 3 exons.
UUUCAUUGUUCCUGUUGAGAUUAGAGAACCCAAUUCCAUGGAGGCAUCCACUGACCAUCCAGAUGACAGUCACCACAAAGAGUUUCAAGGGCUUCUGUGUUGAGGCGUAUCUUUGUCAAUCUAGUGUCACUUUAAAAGAUUUUCGAUAGAACCGGGGAUUCCUAGUCUCACACUCUUUAAAGAUACCUGUUAUUUCUUCUUCUUGCCUAAUUGCUUUGGCCAAGAAUUCUAGUAAUAUGUUGAAUAGAAGGGAGAAUGGACACACUUUUCUUGUUCCU